RNAcentral lists this ribosomal RNA (941 nucleotides) under Cortinarius sp. PDD 103687. RNAcentral's name for it is "eukaryotic LSU rRNA". It matches the Rfam family "Eukaryotic large subunit ribosomal RNA", at positions 35 to 961 of the family's 3401-position model. The record is from RNAcentral. Lineage: Eukaryota; Fungi; Basidiomycota; Agaricomycetes; Agaricales; Cortinariaceae.
UAAGCAUAUCAAUAAGCGGAGGAAAAGAAACUAACAAGGAUUCCCCUAGUAACUGCGAGUGAAGCGGGAAAAGCUCAAAUUUAAAAUCUGUCAGUCUUUGGCUGUCCGAGUUGUAAUCUAGAGAAGUGUUAUCCGCGUUGGACCGUGUACAAGUCUCCUGGAAUGGAGCGUCAUAGAGGGUGAGAAUCCCGUCUUUGACACGGACUGCCAGGGCUUUGUGAUGCGCUCUCGAAGAGUCGAGUUGUUUGGGAAUGCAGCUCAAAAUGGGUGGUAAAUUCCAUCUAAAGCUAAAUAUUGGCGAGAGACCGAUAGCGAACAAGUACCGUGAGGGAAAGAUGAAAAGAACUUUGGAAAGAGAGUUAAACAGUACGUGAAAUUGCUGAAAGGGAAACGCUUGAAGUCAGUCGCGUUGGCCAGGGAUCAACCUUGCUUUUGCUUGGUGUACUUCCUGGUKGACGGGUCAGCAUCAAUUUUGACCAUUGGAAAAAGAUUAGGGGAAUGUGGCAUCUUCGGAUGUGUUAUAGCCCUUGGUUGCAUACAAUGGUUGGGAUUGAGGAACUCAGCACGCCGCAAGGCCGGGUUUUUAACCACGUACGUGCUUAGGAUGCUGGCAUAAUGGCUUUAAUCGACCCGUCUUGAAACACGGACCAAGGAGUCUAACAUGCCUGCGAGUGUUUGGGUGGAAAACCCGAGCGCGUAAUGAAAGUGAAAGUUGAGAUCCCUGUCGUGGGGAGCAUUGACGCCCGGACCAGACCUUUUGUGACGGUUCCGCGGUAGAGCAUGUAUGUUGGGACCCGAAAGAUGGUGAACUAUGCCUGAAUAGGGUGAAGCCAGAGGAAACUCUGGUGGAGGCUCGUAGCGAUUCUGACGUGCAAAUCGAUCGUCAAAUUUGGGUAUAGGGGCGAAAGACUAAUCGAACCAUCUAGUAAGCUGGUUCCUGC